CCACUGCCUCUGUGCCUGCCUGUACUGCUGAUGCUCCAGUGGAUAACUCAGCAUCCCAGCCUAGGCCCAAUGCCACUGAAGAUGGACCUGCACCCUGGGGACCCAGGAGUCCUACCACUCAGCUGUCCCCAGGAGUGCCCAGACCCUCAUUCUUAUCCAGGACCUAGGAGCCCUACCCCUGGCCUUCCCUCAUCAGCCGUAAAUGAUGAUUUACUGCUGUUACCAUCAUCACUGCCUUCAGUGACCAAGGGCCUUCCAAGGUGCCAGCUCUGGAACGAAAGAUGCCCUUGGGAGGUGAUGACACUCAGGUACACGGGUGCUCAACAGAUUGCUUCCUCCUAUCCUCAGACGGUCUUUGCAUUCAUGCAGCCAUUGGCACUCCCAUUGUAUGGAAGGAAACCAGCCCAGGGUCACACAGCUGGUCAGCAGCAACAUAGCUGGUCUCAAAUCUAAGGUGCCUGGCCAUGCCUCCAUGAGGGACCGCCUGCAAGGGAGGUUGAUCCUGGCUUUGGGGAGCCUUUCCUGGGCUGCACGAAUAACCUCCAUUGUUCGAGACCCCAAACUCUGCUCACAUCUUCCUUUCCCUGUCUCUGCUUGGGCUAUGAUCACGGUGACUCUAGCAACCCUUCAUGGACAUUAUAGUACUCUCUGCCAUUCACUUUUGGUCUAAUCUGACUUCAACCCCCACUUACUUGGUCUCUCCUUUUACAACCAACACAACCGAAAUCUAG
RNAcentral lists this long non-coding RNA (731 nucleotides) under Homo sapiens (human). RNAcentral describes it as "HSALNT0229381". Lineage: Eukaryota; Metazoa; Chordata; Mammalia; Primates; Hominidae. The record is from RNAcentral.